AGUGAACGCUGGCGGUAGGCCUAACACAUGCAAGUCGAACGGCAGCACAGUAAGAGCUUGCUCUUACGGGUGGCGAGUGGCGGACGGGUGAGGAAUACAUCGGAAUCUACUUUUUCGUGGGGGAUAACGUAGGGAAACUUACGCUAAUACCGCAUACGACCUACGGGUGAAAGCAGGGGAUCUUCGGACCUUGCGCGAUUGAAUGAGCCGAUGUCGGAUUAGCUAGUUGGCGGGGUAACGGCCCACCAAGGCGACGAUCCGUAGCUGGGGUGAGAGGGUGUACAGCCACAGAGAGAGUGAGAGGCGGUCCAGGCACUUACGGAAGGCACAGAUGGGGAAGAGUGGAAAAUGGGCGGAAUCCUGAUCCAGCCGUGCCGGGUGGAUGAAGAAGGGCUUCGGGUUGUAAGGCCCUUUUGUUGUGGAAGAAAGGCAGCAGGUUAGUACCAGGCUGUUGUGACGGUACCUAAAGAAUAAGCACCGGCUAACUUCGUG
Molecule: ribosomal RNA, 492 nt
Filed under: uncultured bacterium
Lineage: Bacteria
Description: partial 16S ribosomal RNA
Rfam family: Bacterial small subunit ribosomal RNA
Source: RNAcentral